UCCCUAUGGGGUGCAGCAGGCGCGAAACCUCCACAAUGCGCGAAAGCGUGAUGGGGUUAGCCCGAGUGCUGUCCGAAAAGGAUGGCUUUUCCUUGGUGUAAAAACCCAGGGGAAUAAAGGGGGGGCAAGACUGGUGUCAGCCGCCGCGGUAAUACCAGCUCCCUGAGUGGUAAGGACGAUUAUUUGGCUUAAAGCGUCCGUAGCCGGCUUAGUGAGUCUUUUGUUAAAUCCAAUGACUUAAUCAUUGAAAUGCAAGAGAUACUGCUAUGCUAGAGGACGGGAGAGGUCGACGGUAGUCCAGGGGUAGGGGUGAAAUCCUAUAAUCCCGGGAGGACCACCAGUGGCGAAGGCUGUCGGCUAGAACGCGCCCGACGGUGAGGGAUGAAAGCUGGGGGAGCGAACCGGAUUAGAUACCCGGGUAGUCCCAGCCGUAAACGAUGCAGGCUAGGUGUUUGGGCGGCCACGAGCCGCCCUAGUGCCGCAGGGAAGCUGUUAAGCCUGCCGCCUGGGGAGUACGGCCGCAAGGCUGAAACUUAAAGGAAUUGGCGGGGGAGCACCACAAGGGGUGAAGCUUGCGGUUUAAUUGGAUUCAACGCCGGAA
RNAcentral lists this ribosomal RNA (601 nucleotides) under uncultured archaeon. RNAcentral's name for it is "bacterial SSU rRNA". It matches the Rfam family "Archaeal small subunit ribosomal RNA", at positions 319 to 923 of the family's 1478-position model. The record is from RNAcentral.